RNAcentral lists this ribosomal RNA (1098 nucleotides) under uncultured ammonia-oxidizing bacterium. RNAcentral's name for it is "bacterial SSU rRNA". It matches the Rfam family "Bacterial small subunit ribosomal RNA", at positions 131 to 1225 of the family's 1533-position model. The record is from RNAcentral.
CUUAAGUGGGGAAUAACGCAUCGAAAGGUGUGCUAAUACCGCAUAAUCUCUGAGGAGAAAAGCAGGGGAUCGCAAGACCUUGCGCUUUUGGAGCGGCCGAUGUCUGAUUAGCUUGUUGGUGAGGUAAAGGCUUACCAAGGCUUCGAUCAGUAGCUGGUCUGAGAGGACGGCCAGCCACACUGGGACUGAGACACGGCCCAGACUCCUACGGGAGGCAGCAGUGGGGAAUUUUGGACAAUGGGGGCAACCCUGAUCCAGCCAUGCCGCGUGAGUGAAGAAGGCCUUCGGGUUGUAAAGCUCUUUCAGCCGGAACGAAACGGUUACGGUUAAUACCCGUAACUACUGACGGUACCGGAAGAAGAAGCACCGGCUAACUACGUGCCAGCAGCCGCGGUAAUACGUAGGGUGCGAGCGUUAAUCGGAAUUACUGGGCGUAAAGCGUGCGCAGGUGGUUUUGUAAGUCAGAUGUGAAAUCCCCGGGCUUAACCUGGGAACUGCGUUUGAAACUACAAGGCUAGAGUGCGGCAGAGGGGGGUGGAAUUCCGCGUGUAGCAGUGAAAUGCGUAGAGAUGUGGAGGAACACCGAUGGCGAAGGCAGCCCCCUGGGUCAACACUGACGCUCAGGCACGAAAGCAUGGGGAGCAAACAGGAUUAGAUACCCUGGUAGUCCAUGCCCUAAACGAUGUCAACUAGUUGUCGGGUCUUAACGGGCUUGGUAACGUAGCUAACGCGUGAAGUUGACCACCUGGGGAGUACGAUCGCAAGAUUAAAACUCAAAGGAAUUGACGGGGACCCGCACAAGCGGUGGAUUAUGUGGAUUAAUUCGAUGCAACGCGAAAAACCUUACCUACCCUUGACAUGUAUUGGAGCCCGCAGAGAUGUGGGUGUGCCCGAAAGGGAACGAUAACACAGGUGCUGCAUGGCUGUCGUCAGCUCGUGUCGUGAGAUGUUGGGUUAAGUCCCGCAACGAGCGCAACCCUUGUCAUUAAUUGCCAUCAUUUAGUGGGGCACUUUAAUGAGACUGCCGGUGACAAACCGGAGGAAGGUGGGGAUGACGUCAAGUCCUCAUGGCCCUUAUGGGUAGGGCUUCACACGUAA